AUCUACGGCCAUGCCGCCCUGAACACACCCAAUCUUGUCUGAUCUCAGAAACUAAGCAAGGUCGUGCCUGGUUAAUACUUGAAUGGAAGACCACCUAGGAAGAGUAGGUGCUGUAGGAU
Molecule: non-coding RNA, 119 nt
Organism: Pteropus alecto (black flying fox)
Lineage: Eukaryota; Metazoa; Chordata; Mammalia; Chiroptera; Pteropodidae
Source: Rfam